RNAcentral lists this ribosomal RNA (252 nucleotides) under uncultured bacterium. RNAcentral's name for it is "partial 16S ribosomal RNA". It matches the Rfam family "Bacterial small subunit ribosomal RNA", at positions 524 to 776 of the family's 1533-position model. The record is from RNAcentral.
UACGUAGGUGGCGAGCGUUAUCCGGAUUUAUUGGGCGUAAAGCGUGCGCAGGCGGCUUGUUAAGUCUAAAAUAAAAGCCCGGAGCUUAACUCCGGUUCGUUUUAGAAACUGGCAAGCUCGAGUGUGGUAGAGGCAAACGGAAUUUCUAGUGUAGCGGUAAAAUGCGUAGAUAUUAGAAGGAACACCAGUGGCGAAGGCGGUUUGCUGGGCCAUUACUGACGCUCAUGCACGAAAGCGUGGGGAGCAAAUAGG